RNAcentral lists this ribosomal RNA (254 nucleotides) under uncultured bacterium. RNAcentral's name for it is "partial 16S ribosomal RNA". It matches the Rfam family "Bacterial small subunit ribosomal RNA", at positions 524 to 776 of the family's 1533-position model. The record is from RNAcentral.
GACGGAGGGUGCAAACGUUGUUCGGAAUCACUGGGCAUAAAGCGCACGUAGGCGGCGCACUAAGUCAGGUGUGAAAGCCCCCGGCUCAACCGGGGAAUGGCUCCUGAUACUGGUGGGCUAGAGGAUGGUUGGGGUGAGUGGAACUCCUGGUGGAGCGGUGAAAUGCGUAGAUAUCAGGAGGAACACCGGUGGCGAAAGCGGCUCACUGGACCUUUUUCUGACGCUGAUGUGCGAAAGCUAGGGUAGCGAACGGG